RNAcentral lists this long non-coding RNA (242 nucleotides) under Ananas comosus (pineapple). RNAcentral describes it as "long non-coding RNA (ACOM_LNC039710)". Lineage: Eukaryota; Viridiplantae; Streptophyta; Magnoliopsida; Poales; Bromeliaceae. The record is from RNAcentral.
ACUUAAAAGGAUUGUAUGUUCAAUCUUGACUUUACACUAACUCUAGUGUUCUUUACAUCACUUUAUGUUGCUACUCUAGUAAUCUUUGUUCUUUACCAUUCAUUACUUUUGCUAACUCCAGCAAUCAUAUUCUUUACAUUUCUUUACUUUUGCUAACUCUAGCAAUCAUGUUCUUUACGCCCCACUUUGUUUUCACUUUAGUCAUUAUCAUUAUUCUUUACGUCACAUUGAUUCAUUGCCUC